RNAcentral lists this ribosomal RNA (1353 nucleotides) under Citrobacter freundii. RNAcentral's name for it is "bacterial LSU rRNA". It matches the Rfam family "Bacterial large subunit ribosomal RNA", at positions 1610 to 2925 of the family's 2925-position model. Lineage: Bacteria; Pseudomonadati; Pseudomonadota; Gammaproteobacteria; Enterobacterales; Enterobacteriaceae. The record is from RNAcentral.
AGGAAAAGCCUCUAAGCAUCAGGUAACACGAAAUCGUACCCCAAACCGACACAGGUGGUCAGGUAGAGAAUACCAAGGCGCUUGAGAGAACUCGGGUGAAGGAACUAGGCAAAAUGGUGCCGUAACUUCGGGAGAAGGCACGCUGAUAUGUAGGUGAAGUGAUUUACUCAUGGAGCUGAAAUCAGUCGAAGAUACCAGCUGGCUGCAACUGUUUAUUAAAAACACAGCACUGUGCAAACACGAAAGUGGACGUAUACGGUGUGACGCCUGCCCGGUGCCGGAAGGUUAAUUGAUGGGGUUAUCCGUAAGGAGAAGCUCUUGAUCGAAGCCCCGGUAAACGGCGGCCGUAACUAUAACGGUCCUAAGGUAGCGAAAUUCCUUGUCGGGUAAGUUCCGACCUGCACGAAUGGCGUAAUGAUGGCCAGGCUGUCUCCACCCGAGACUCAGUGAAAUUGAACUCGCUGUGAAGAUGCAGUGUACCCGCGGCAAGACGGAAAGACCCCGUGAACCUUUACUAUAGCUUGACACUGAACACUGGUCCUUGAUGUGUAGGAUAGGUGGGAGGCUUUGAAGUGUGGACGCCAGUCUGCAUGGAGCCAUCCUUGAAAUACCACCCUUUAAUGGCUGGUGUUCUAACGUGGACCCGUAAUCCGGGUUGCGGACAGUGUCUGGUGGGUAGUUUGACUGGGGCGGUCUCCUCCUAAAGAGUAACGGAGGAGCACGAAGGUUAGCUAAUCCUGGUCGGACAUCAGGAGGUUAGUGCAAAGGCAUAAGCUAGCUUGACUGCGAGAGUGACGGCUCGAGCAGGUGCGAAAGCAGGUCUUAGUGAUCCGGUGGUUCUGAAUGGAAGGGCCAUCGCUCAACGGAUAAAAGGUACUCCGGGGAUAACAGGCUGAUACCGCCCAAGAGUUCAUAUCGACGGCGGUGUUUGGCACCUCGAUGUCGGCUCAUCACAUCCUGGGGCUGAAGUAGGUCCCAAGGGUAUGGCUGUUCGCCAUUUAAAGUGGUACGCGAGCUGGGUUUAGAACGUCGUGAGACAGUUCGGUCCCUAUCUGCCGUGGGCGCUGGAGAAUUGAGGGGGGCUGCUCCUAGUACGAGAGGACCGGAGUGGACGCAUCACUGGUGUUCGGGUUGUCAUGCCAAUGGCAUUGCCCGGUAGCUAAAUGCGGAAGAGAUAAGUGCUGAAAGCAUCUAAGCACGAAACUUGCCCCGAGAUGAGUUCUCCCUGAGACUUUAAGUCUCCUGAAGGAACGUUGAAGACGACGACGUUGAUAGGUCGGGUGUGUAAGCGUAGCGAUACGUUGAGCUAACCGAUACUAAUGAACCGUGAGGCUUAACCUUACAACGCCGAAG